Neoarius graeffei (lesser salmon catfish) is the source of this 514-nucleotide long non-coding RNA. RefSeq lists it as uncharacterized. The transcript has 3 exons. The record is from RefSeq and is a predicted model, not a curated record. Lineage: Eukaryota; Metazoa; Chordata; Actinopteri; Siluriformes; Ariidae.
UUUCAAAAGAAAGAGUGACGACGUGCGUGCCUUUCUCCUCGCGCGCUCGCGCUGCAUUUCCGUGUUUCCGUCUGCCUGAGGCGUUUAGCUGGUUAAAGCAGCUGGGAUGCACCAGCAUGGCUUCCCCGGUGAUAUUUUGCUCCUGUGAAACCGUCUUACCCCUGGUCGAUUAAAUUGCCGCUUGCUUGAGUGUGUCUGAAAAUGAGUCCCUUGAAGGCUAUCUCAGACACUUGCUGAUGCGUGGCGUGGCAUCGAGUUUCAUCUAAAUACCCGGGGAAGCCCUGGUCUAAUGUUUUUAAUCAGUGAUGCUAGGCAGAGGGAAUUUCCUGCAAGAACUGGGGCCACCUGCUGUUUCCAACAGAGCAAACAGCACCUAACUAACUAACCAACCAACUGUCUGUCUUGUCUAUCUUGUCUUUUUGUCUAUGUAUUUUAAAAAAUACAACCCCAAAACAGAAAAAGUUGGGAUGGGAUGGAAAAUGCAAAUAAAAAAAAGAAAGCAGUGACUUCGAAA